UAGGGAAUCCUCCACAAUGGACGCAAGUCUGAUGGAGCAACGCCGCGUGAGUGAAGAAGGCUUUCGGGUCGUAAAACUCUGUUAUUGAAGAAGAACGUGUGUGACAGUAACUGGUCAUGCAGUGACGGUAUUCAAUCAGAAAGUCACGGCUAACUACGUGCCACAGCCGCGGUAAUACGUAGGUGGCAAGCCUGUCCGGAUUUA
This 204-nucleotide ribosomal RNA is filed under the name uncultured bacterium. Its description in RNAcentral is "partial 16S ribosomal RNA". It matches the Rfam family "Bacterial small subunit ribosomal RNA", at positions 355 to 553 of the family's 1533-position model. The record is from RNAcentral.